AGAAAGUUCGAAUGGGUUCUCCAUCCUGAGAUUAGACAACAGUUUUAUGUGUUCGAGCUCAGUACUUACUCGGUCAUUUUAGGCAAAGCACAGCUAGUAGAGAGGAACUUUCGCAUUUUCCUCAAGUAGUAGGGAACCUCAGGCCCUCAGUUUCACACCGCAAACCAGCACCUACUGCACCUGUUCAGCAGAACAAGAGGUCUAGGUCAAUGACUCAGGCUCCUCCUCAUAUUGUAAUAACAGGACGCGGUAGGACUUGCUAACACUGUGGCAAGGAUCAUGGGGACCGACUCUGCUAUCGCCUCAACAUUAUUUAUCGUAUAUGUGAGAGUGUCCAGCAUUAUAUGAGAGAGUACUUGAGAAAUCAGAAUCAGAUGUGAUCCAGGGUACGUACACUAUCUGUAAUCAUCUUGCACAUAUUUUGAUUGAUAUUGGUGUCUCACAUUUAUUUGUUUCACAUGCUUUUACACUAAACUUGAAUGUAUUACCUGAAAGACUUGAUUCUAUAUUGUUUGUGUCUACUCAUGGGAGUAGGACACUAUUGGGGGAGGUUAUAUACAAAGCCUGUAUCAUAAAUAUAGAAGAUAGGAAAUUGAGUGUGGACCUA
This 607-nucleotide long non-coding RNA is filed under the name Carica papaya (papaya). RNAcentral describes it as "long non-coding RNA (CPAP_LNC001049)". Lineage: Eukaryota; Viridiplantae; Streptophyta; Magnoliopsida; Brassicales; Caricaceae. The record is from RNAcentral.